AUAGAGACUCAGAGCUGCAUAUCAAUAAGCGGAGGAAAAGGAAACUAACUAGGAUUCCCUUAGUAACGGCGAGUGAAGCGGGAAGAGCUCAAAUUUGAAAUCUUCAAGGUUCUACCUUGACGAAUUGUAGUUUAUAGAAGUGUUUUCUGUUAGUGGAGUUGGCUAAAAGUUCUUUGGAAUAGGACAUCAUAGAGGGUGAGAAUCCCGUAUUUGGUCAUUCCUCCUAGCGUUGUGAUACACUUUCAACGAGUCGGAUUGUUUGGGAAUGCAGUCCAAAAUGGGUGGUAAAUUUCAUCUAAAGCUAAAUAUUGGCGAGAGACCGAUAGCGAACAAGUACCGUGAGGGAAAGAUGAAAAGAACUUUGAAAAGAGAGUUAAACAGUACGUGAAAUUGUCAAAAGGGAAGCGUUUGACACCAGUGUUGUUUUUCCGAAAAUCAAUUACGAAUGUUUUAUUUUUGAGAGAGUUAUGACUUCAUCGGCUUGCUUCUUUCUUUAUCGAAACUUUCUUAAUGCACUUUUCGGUUAACAAGUCAACAUCAAUUUCUUUUGUUGUAAAAGGGUAUGAGGAAGGUGGCUUUCUUUUCGGAGAAAGUGUUUAUAGCCUUGUACCUCUGCAAUCGGAGAGAUUGAGGUCUGCAGCGUAGAUCCUUCGGGGUUAGAUACAUUUGUGCUAAGUUAUAGCUUUUCAUAGACAACUUGUUGACUAUGUUUAGUCUUGUAGCUUACUCGCUGAUGCUAUUUUACCUACGCUUAGGAUGUUGAGAUAUGCGCGACACG
RNAcentral lists this ribosomal RNA (778 nucleotides) under uncultured Neocallimastigales. Its description in RNAcentral is "partial large subunit ribosomal RNA". It matches the Rfam family "Eukaryotic large subunit ribosomal RNA", at positions 23 to 644 of the family's 3401-position model. Lineage: Eukaryota; Fungi; Neocallimastigomycota; Neocallimastigomycetes; Neocallimastigales. The record is from RNAcentral.